RNAcentral lists this ribosomal RNA (433 nucleotides) under uncultured bacterium. RNAcentral's name for it is "partial 16S ribosomal RNA". It matches the Rfam family "Bacterial small subunit ribosomal RNA", at positions 29 to 507 of the family's 1533-position model. The record is from RNAcentral.
AACGAACGCUGGCGGCAUGCCUAACACAUGCAAGUCGAACGAGACCUUCGGGUCUAGUGGCGCACGGGUGCGUAACGCGUGGGAACCUGCCCUUAGGUUCGGAAUAACUCCCCGAAAGGGGUGCUAAUACCGGAUAAUGUCUUCGGACCAAAGAUUUAUCGCCUUUGGAUGGGCCCGCGUUGGAUUAGCUAGUUGGUAGGGUAAAAGCCUACCAAGGCGACGAUCCAUAGCUGGGUUGAGAGGAUGAUCAGCCACACUGGGACUGAGACACGGCCCAGACUCCUACGGGAGGCAGCAGUGGGGAAUAUUGGACAAUGGGCGGAAGCCUGAUCCAGCAAUGCCGCGUGAGUGAUGAAGGCAUUAGGGUUGUAAAGCUCUUUUACCCGGGAUGAUAAUGACAGUACCGGGAGAAUAAGCUCCGGCUAACUCCGUG